RNAcentral lists this ribosomal RNA (371 nucleotides) under Chloroflexota bacterium. RNAcentral describes it as "Chloroflexi bacterium (sediment metagenome) partial 23S ribosomal RNA". It matches the Rfam family "Bacterial large subunit ribosomal RNA", at positions 2562 to 2925 of the family's 2925-position model. The record is from RNAcentral. Lineage: Bacteria; Bacillati; Chloroflexota.
GUCCCAAGGGUCGGGCUGUUCGCCCGUUAAAGCGGUACGCGAGCUGGGUUCAGACCGUCGUGAGACAGGUCGGUCUCUAUCCGCUGUGGGCGUAAGGGAUUUGAGAGGAGCUACCCCUAGUACGAGAGGACCGGGGUGGACAGACCUCUGGUGUGCCAGUUGUCGUGCCAACGGCAUAGCUGGGUAGCCACGUCUGGCAGAGAUAACCGCUGAAAGCAUCUAAGUGGGAAACUCGCCUCAAGAUGAGAUCCCUCACCCUGAGCGCAAGCGAAGGGGUAAGGCCGCAGGAAGACUACCUGCUUGAUAGGCGGCCGGUGUAAGCGCAGCAAUGCGUUAAGCCAAGCCGUACUAAUGGCCGAGGGCUUAUCCCG